GCAGUGGUGGCAGUGUUUGGACCGCAAUACUUGAGAACACCCGAUGCGGAAGACACUGCUCGGAUCCUAGCACAGAAUGCAGCAAGAGGAUUUCCUGGUAUGCUUGGAAGCAUCGACUACAUGCAUUGGAAAUGGAAGAAUUGCCCAUUUGCUUGGCAGGGGAUGUACAAAGGCGCCAAAGGCGGUUGUAGUGUGGUACUUGAGGCGGUGGCCACACAGGACCUCUGGAUUUGGCACUCCUUCUUUGGUAUGCCAGGAACUCACAAUGACAUCAACGUGCUGCAGUGCUCCCCUGUCUUUGCCAAGCUUGUUGAAGGUUAUUCUCCUCCGUGA
Molecule: ribosomal RNA, 333 nt
Filed under: Triticum aestivum (bread wheat)
Lineage: Eukaryota; Viridiplantae; Streptophyta; Magnoliopsida; Poales; Poaceae
Description: partial small subunit ribosomal RNA
Source: RNAcentral